This is a long non-coding RNA of Anguilla anguilla (European eel), 1224 nucleotides long. RefSeq lists it as uncharacterized. The record is from RefSeq and is a predicted model, not a curated record. NCBI's taxonomy places the organism in Eukaryota, Metazoa, Chordata, Actinopteri, Anguilliformes, Anguillidae. The transcript has 2 exons.
GCUGCGGAAACAAGUCUUUGGGUCUGCGUCUCAACUCAAGAAGCCAAGUUAAGCACCGGGACCAUGGACGGGACUCAUGCAGGCUCACAAGCGCCAACGUAUUUGGCCUGGUCUAUCUUCAACACACUUUGCUGUUGCCUUCCCCUCGGAAUUGCUGCGAUUAUUUGUUCAAGCAGGGUGAGCGGUGCAAAUAGCGUUGGAGAUACGGCCAAGGCGCAGGAAGCAUCGCGGACCGCCAAGAUUCUGAAUAUCGUUGGACUUGUGCUUGGAAUUAUUGCUAUCAUUGUUAUUAUUGUACUGCAAACGGUCUAAACCGACGAAGCUGGAAGAAAGUCAUGCUACCUUUUUAACUCAAAGUAACACCCCCCAUUCAAAUGUUCUAAAACGACUUUUAUAUGCAUCUUGAAAACUAAAUAACCUCGCACCCAUGUAGGCUACUCUAAAAACAAAGUACACAUUUUAAGGUGGGAUGGAUGUAACGGGCUCUGGGUCCAAAAUGGUUAAAAAACCCGCGCGCUGCUUUUGCUUUGCAUAUCACUCGGCUUCGCCGCCUGUCAUGUUGUGUAAUAAAUUAGUGUUGAAAUAUUUUCGCAUCCGUCCAAAUGUAUUGCCUCACUUUUUUUGAUUGCCACUUUUUGGUAGUGAAAUCUUACUAGGAAUCAUACGCUUGCAAACUCAUUAACGCACGUGCUUUGUUGCAGUUGCAGUACAUGGCAGUAAAUGUAUGAAAUGCAUUUUAAAAUUGUUUAAAAAUGAGCAGACCUCAAAAGCAAAUGGGCAGCGAACAAAGGAAAAGGACCAACGCCCAGCUCCCACCUCGCCCCCUUCUUGGAAGAAGGGGGGCGGGGCGCCGGGGGGGGGGGGAUUGAACACUCUAUGUUUAACAUCAUGACAUUAUAGCAAAUUCCCAUGAAGUUCAAGUUAUAUGCUGAGUUUUUAUUUGUAACAUUUUGCAAAGCUGUACUUGGUAUUGUCAUUUAUGUGAAAACAGUGAAAAUGUACUCUUUUAUUUUGCACUGUGUUGACUGUUUUGAGAGCAAGCCUUAUUAAACCAGGCUUUACCCUUGACCGAGGUACUGGCCUCAGAACUGGAGUUGGUUCCCGGGCGAUGCACUGUGGCUGCCCACUGCUCCUAAGUAACUAGGACGGGUUAAAUGCAGAGGACGCAUUUCACUGUAUGUACAUGUAUAAGCAUGCGACAAAUAAAGCCUUCUUCUUAUUCUU